AUACUUCUUCAGCAGCACAUAUACUAAAAUUGAAAUGAUACAGAGAAGAAUAGCAUGGCUACUGCACAAGCAUGCCAUGCAAAUUCAUGAAGCUUUCUAUUUUUGA
Molecule: small nuclear RNA, 106 nt
Organism: Sarcophilus harrisii (Tasmanian devil)
Lineage: Eukaryota; Metazoa; Chordata; Mammalia; Dasyuromorphia; Dasyuridae
Source: Ensembl